CGCUGCCCGCGCUAUCUUGUCCCAGAAACAGCYGAGCAAGAAGCAGCAGCCCUGCUGUGCAAUGCCCAAGAAAUACAGGCUGGAGCAGAACUCGCCGUCCUGUGAGCUGGCAACAAGGAAUGAAGAUUGCAAAACCUGCAUACUUGGAGAAAGUGAGGAAUGAAUUCCGGCAGCCAGGAUUGUUUGUCCACUUUAAAAAAAACUCUUAAAUUUUCAUGGGAAUCUCCAGAGUAGCAGGCUAUCUGUGAAGGAACAGCAUUUUCUCCUACAAAAGAUAGGCUAAAAAUCCAGCAAAACCCAAACUGAGAGUCUCCUUUCCCCAAAAGGCAGAAUGUUCUCGGUGACAAGGAGGUAAAAUACAGAUUUAUUGUGACAUAAYGUAAAUAUUCAAAGAGAGCUCGUGUCUGCGGCUGUUAGUUACGUUGGCAGCUGAAGAUCUGGACAUUCAGGUUGUCAACRUGAUAAACGUUGUUGACAUCAGCGUGACCCUCAGGAACCUUCUCGGUCCUGACGGAUCCGUGUUUUCUAAUGGAAUAAACCAUCCAUCAGAGAGAA
Molecule: long non-coding RNA, 555 nt
Organism: Nothoprocta perdicaria
Lineage: Eukaryota; Metazoa; Chordata; Aves; Tinamiformes; Tinamidae
Exons: 2
Source: RefSeq, a predicted model, not a curated record